Molecule: ribosomal RNA, 406 nt
Filed under: uncultured bacterium
Lineage: Bacteria
Description: partial 16S ribosomal RNA
Rfam family: Bacterial small subunit ribosomal RNA
Source: RNAcentral
AUUGAACGCUGGCGGCAGGCCUAACACAUGCAAGUCGAACGAGUGGCGGACGGGUGAGUAAUGUCUGGGAAACUGCCCGUAGGAGGGGGAUAACUACUGGAAACGGUAGCUAAUACCGCAUACCUUCGGAGGUGCACAGAUUGGAUUAGCUAGUAGGUGUGGUAACGGCUCACCUAGGCGACGAUGCCUAGCCGGUCUGAGAGGAUGACCAGCCACACUGGAACUGAGACACGGUCCAGACUCCUACGGGAGGCAGCAGUGGGGAAUAUUGCACAAUGGGCGCAAGCCUGAUGCAGCCAUGCCGCGUGUAUGAAGAAGGCCUUCGGGUUGUAAAGUACUUUCAGCGGGGAGGCGUUACCCGCAGAAGAAGCACCGGCUAACUCCGUGCCAGCAGCCGCGGUAAUAC